GACGAACGCUGGCGGCGUGCUUAACACAUGCAAGUCGAACGGAAAGGCCCUGCUUUUGUGGGGUGCUCGAGUGGCGAACGGGUGAGUAACACGUGAGUAACCUGCCCUUGACUGUGGGAUAACUUCAGGAAACUGGGGCUAAUACCGGAUAGGAGCACCUGCUGCAUGGUGGGGGUUGGAAAGUUUCGGCGGUUGGGGUUGGACGCGCGGCUUCUCUGCUUGUGGGUGGUGGAGUGGCUUACCAUGGCUUUGACGGGUAGCCGGCCUGAGAGGGUGACCGGCCACAGUGGGACUGAGAUACGGCCCAGACUCCUACGGGAGGCAGCAGUGGGGAAUAUUGCACAAUGGGCGGAAGCCGUAUGCAGCAACGCCGCGUGCUGGAUGACGGCCGUCGGGUUGUAAACCGCUUUCGCCUGUGACGAAGAGUGUGUGACGGUAAUGGGUAAAGAAGCACCGGCUAACUACGUG
Molecule: ribosomal RNA, 468 nt
Filed under: uncultured bacterium
Lineage: Bacteria
Description: partial 16S ribosomal RNA
Rfam family: Bacterial small subunit ribosomal RNA
Source: RNAcentral